RNAcentral lists this ribosomal RNA (1074 nucleotides) under Salmonella enterica. RNAcentral's name for it is "partial 23S ribosomal RNA". It matches the Rfam family "Bacterial large subunit ribosomal RNA", at positions 427 to 1503 of the family's 2925-position model. Lineage: Bacteria; Pseudomonadati; Pseudomonadota; Gammaproteobacteria; Enterobacterales; Enterobacteriaceae. The record is from RNAcentral.
UGGUAUCCUGUCUGAAUAUGGGGGGACCAUCCUCCAAGGCUAAAUACUCCUGACUGACCGAUAGUGAACCAGUACCGUGAGGGAAAGGCGAAAAGAACCCCGGCGAGGGGAGUGAAAAAGAACCUGAAACCGUGUACGUACAAGCAGUGGGAGCACAGGUUUACCUGUGUGACUGCGUACCUUUUGUAUAAUGGGUCAGCGACUUAUAUUCUGUAGCAAGGUUAACCGAAUAGGGGAGCCGGAGGGAAACCGAGUCUUAAUUGGGCGUUAAGUUGCAGGGUAUAGACCCGAAACCCGGUGAUCUAGCCAUGGGCAGGUUGAAGGUUGGGUAACACUAACUGGAGGACCGAACCGACUAAUGUUGAAAAAUUAGCGGAUGACCUGUGGCUGGGGGUGAAAGGCCAAUCAAACCGGGAGAUAGCUGGUUCUCCCCGAAAGCUAUUUAGGUAGCGCCUCGUGAAUUCAUCUCCGGGGGUAGAGCACUGUUUCGGCUAGGGGGCCAUCCCGGCUUACCAACCCGAUGCAAACUGCGAAUACCGGAGAAUGUUAUCACGGGAGACACACGGCGGGUGCUAACGUCCGUCGUGAAGAGGGAAACAACCCAGACCGCCAGCUAAGGUCCCAAAGUCAUGGUUAAGUGGGAAACGAUGUGGGAAGGCCCAGACAGCCAGGAUGUUGGCUUAGAAGCAGCCAUCAUUUAAAGAAAGCGUAAUAGCUCACUGGUCGAGUCGGCCUGCGCGGAAGAUGUAACGGGGCUAAACCAUGCACCGAAGCUGCGGCAGCGACGCUGAUGCGUUGUUGGGUAGGGGAGCGUUCUGUAAGCCUGCGAAGGUGGCCUGUGAGGGUUGCUGGAGGUAUCAGAAGUGCGAAUGCUGACAUAAGUAACGAUAAAGCGGGUGAAAAGCCCGCUCGCCGGAAGACCAAGGGUUCCUGUCCAACGUUAAUCGGGGCAGGGUGAGUCGACCCCUAAGGCGAGGCCGAAAGGCGUAGUCGAUGGGAAACGGGUUAAUAUUCCCGUACUUGGUGUUACUGCGAAGGGGGGACGGAGAAGGCUAUGUUGGCCGGGCGACGGUU